Long non-coding RNA from Tripterygium wilfordii, 905 nucleotides. RefSeq lists it as uncharacterized. The record is from RefSeq and is a predicted model, not a curated record. The transcript has 3 exons. Lineage: Eukaryota; Viridiplantae; Streptophyta; Magnoliopsida; Celastrales; Celastraceae.
UUGUGUUGUUUUACUUUUCUGCAUCGGUCAUUUACUCGAGUCAGCCUCUUUGCAUCCAGGGGUAGAGAUAGUGUAGGCCCAAGUUGGGCUCAAGCCCACCCUCAAAUUUGGACAAAAAAUUACUAGUAUACAAUAAAAUACUCAAAUCUCAAAAUAAGACCAAUAAUUUUAAAUACAAAUUAAAUCCUAAUGGGCCCAACUCUUUACCCAAAACCUCAUACAAUAGAUGAAACUGAGAGUUUGAAUCCAAAGAACUUGCCCCAUCUGAUCUCCACACCUUGCUAUUGUUGUCUUCAAGGUCGGAGUUUGCUCUUUAUUCUCUGGGCAAGAGAUUGUAAGUUAGGGAAAAGGCCAUGGUUGUUAAUUUGGAUUUUAUUAAGGUUAUAGCAACAGCUGUAGAAGUCCUGUUGCUAGAUCCUCUUCGCCAAGAGGUUCUUCCUGUUGUGGAUCAGCUAAGGCAACUAUAGCCAGACAAACAUAUGGAGUCAGAGCUCCCAUUUGAGUUUCAAGUUCUGGAGAUAGCAUUAGAGGUUCUAUGUAGAUACUUGUAUGUCAGUGUUGAAGAACUCGAGAGAUGCUUACCCUCUUUUAGAUGAUCUGGCCAGGAAUAUUAGCACCAAGAUCUUGAACUUGUGCGGAGUUUGAAGAGCAAUGUUACCCAUCUACAUGUUCGUCUUCAACAAGAGCAAAGGAGCAGCUACUGCACAAGCUUUGGAGGAUUGAGAAACUGGCAGAAUUGGAUCCAGUAGAACUAGUAGUAUUAUGUAUGUUUUUGGGAACAAGCUAACUAGUUUAGUUUUCUUUAUAUAUGUAUGUUGUUGGGAUAUUAUUAGUACUUCUUGAGAAGAGAAUUGAACAAUGAAUAUUGUUUUUCUAUUAUGAAGUGGAGAAUGGUUUUUACUGUA